GCCGGGUGUGGUGGUGGGUACCUGUAAUCCCAGCUACUCGGGAGGCUGAGGCAGAAGAAUUGCUUGAGCCCAGGAGGUAGAGGUUGCAGUGAGCUGAGAUCAUGCCACUUCACUCCAGCCUGGGCAAUAGAGCGAGACUUUGUCUCAA
RNAcentral lists this non-coding RNA (148 nucleotides) under Nomascus leucogenys (northern white-cheeked gibbon). Lineage: Eukaryota; Metazoa; Chordata; Mammalia; Primates; Hylobatidae. The record is from Rfam by way of RNAcentral.